This 301-nucleotide ribosomal RNA is filed under the name uncultured bacterium. RNAcentral describes it as "partial 16S ribosomal RNA". It matches the Rfam family "Bacterial small subunit ribosomal RNA", at positions 509 to 807 of the family's 1533-position model. The record is from RNAcentral.
CAGCCGCCACGGUAAUACAGAGGGUGCGAGCGUUAAUCGGAAUUACUGGGCGUAAAGGGCGCGUAGGCGGUGAGAUGUGUGUGGUGUGAAAGCCCCGGGCUUGACCUGGGAACUGCGCUUGUGACUGCACAGCUAGAGUAUGGCAGAGGGGGGUGGAAUUCCACGUGUAGCAGUGAAAUGCGUAGAGAUGUGGAGGGACACCGAUGGCGAAGGCAGCCCCCUGGGCCAAUACUGACGCUCAUGCACGAAAGCGUGGGGAGCAAACAGGAUUAGAUACCCCCGUAGUCCCUGUCUCUUAUAC